GAACGACUGCACAACACAUUCUGCUCCAAGAUCCAGAAUCGUUCUCGUUCUCAAGGAAGGCGCCGUUCCAAUUUGGCCUCUGCCAUCGCUCAUCCACGUCCAGAGGGUAGUGAUUCCAUUUGUUCCCCAUUAAUCUGCCGUAUCCCAAAGCUGCGCCGAAAAUUUUUCGACGAAGAUGACGAUAAUGUGGAAGAUGCGUCAAGGUUAGAGGGUGUCGAAGUCUUCUACAUCCCUAAUCAAAAUGGAGAAAUGGUUCCACGAAUUCAGAAUGUUCACCCUCCCAAGCCAACCAAGAAAAACCUCAAGCCUUCGUCUUCACCACAUGGAAGCUCGUGUGGAUCGUCAAGCUCGUGGUGGCGAAGCUCCUUCAAGUAGUAUUUUACGGGCAACUCCAUGCAUGGGUUUAUCAAUAAUGGCUAGUAGGAUGUGUGUUUUCUCUGUCUACUGUAUUGUUGCUAAUGAUUAACUCAAAUGUUUAAGUACUAUGAAUCUAUGUGUGGUAUUAUUAUCUAUUUGUUUUCACUAGCUUAUGUACUCCGGUUGGAACAUUGGCCCUGCGUCUAAUCAUGGUAUUAUGUAAUGUUGUUAUUGGCCCUA
This is a long non-coding RNA of Salvia hispanica, 597 nucleotides long. RefSeq lists it as uncharacterized. Lineage: Eukaryota; Viridiplantae; Streptophyta; Magnoliopsida; Lamiales; Lamiaceae. The record is from RefSeq and is a predicted model, not a curated record.